AGUCGACGAGAAGCUUCUUCGGAAGUGAUUAAAGUGGCGAACCCGUGAGUAACGCGUAGGUAAUCUGGCUUAUAGUUGGGGAUAAACACUGGAAACGGUGUCUAAUACCGGAUGUGAAUUAGUAUUGCAUGAUACGAAAUUUAAAGUUUAAGUAACGCUAUAAGAUGAGCCUGCGUCGUAUUAGUUAGUUGGUGAGGUAACGGCUCACCAAGGCGACGAUACGUAGCGGAUUUGAGAGAGUGGUCCGCCACACUGGGACUGAGAUACGGCCCAGACUCCUACGGGAGGCAGCAGUGAGGAAUAUUGCGCAAUGGACGAAAGUCUGACGCAGCAAUGCCGUGUGAACGAAGAAGGCCUAUGGGUUGUAAAGUUCUGUCAGAAGGGAAGAACAGUCUGGUUAAGAGCUAGACUUGACGGUACCUUCAGAGGAAGCUCCGGCUAACUCCGUGCCAGCAGCCGCGGUAAUACGGGGGGAGCAAGCGUUGUCCGGAAUUAUUGGGCGUAAAGGGUGCGUAGGCGGACUAUUAAGUCUGGUGUGAAAGUUUGCGGCUUAACCGUAAAAGGUCACUGGAUACUGAUAGUCUUGAAUCACAGAGGGGGUAGCGGAAUUCCAGGUGUAGCGGUGAAAUGCGUAGAUAUCUGGAGGAACACCGGUGGCGAAGGCGGCUACCUGGCUGUUGAUUGACGCUGAUGCACGAAAGCGUGGGUAGCAAACAGGAUUAGAUACCCUGGUAGUCCACGCUGUAAACGAUGGAUACUAGUUGUUGGGAACUUGUUCUCGGUGACGGAGCUAACGUAUUAAGUAUCCCGCCUGGGGAGUACGAUCGCAAGGUUGAAACUC
This 841-nucleotide ribosomal RNA is filed under the name uncultured Bacteroidota bacterium. RNAcentral's name for it is "bacterial SSU rRNA". It matches the Rfam family "Bacterial small subunit ribosomal RNA", at positions 60 to 902 of the family's 1533-position model. The record is from RNAcentral. Lineage: Bacteria; Pseudomonadati; Bacteroidota.